This 253-nucleotide ribosomal RNA is filed under the name uncultured bacterium. RNAcentral describes it as "partial 16S ribosomal RNA". It matches the Rfam family "Bacterial small subunit ribosomal RNA", at positions 524 to 776 of the family's 1533-position model. The record is from RNAcentral.
UACGUAGGGAGCAAGCGUUGUCCGGAAUCAUUGGGCGUAAAGCGCGCGUAGGUGGCUCCGUAAGUCCGUUGUGAAAGUCAAAGGCUCAACCUUUGAAAGCCGAUGGAUACUGUGGAGCUAGAGUACGGAAGAGGCGAGUGGAAUUCCUGGUGUAGCGGUGGAAUGCGCAGAUAUCAGGAGGAACACCAAUAGCGAAGGCAGCUCGCUGGGACGUUACUGACACUGAGGCGCGAAAGCGUGGGGAGCAAACAGG